ACGCAACUCUGGAGAGCGCGCAGGAAGUGUGCCACCAACGGGGAAAUCUCCAUGACCAAAAUGGAGCUAAACUCUCAGGUAAAAGGACAGAGAAGGG
This 97-nucleotide non-coding RNA is filed under the name Peribacillus simplex. RNAcentral's name for it is "Glycine riboswitch". It matches the Rfam family "Glycine riboswitch aptamer". From Rfam's summary of the family: This family represents the bacterial glycine riboswitch. Glycine riboswitches usually consist of two metabolite-binding aptamers domains with similar structures in tandem. The record is from RNAcentral. Lineage: Bacteria; Bacillati; Bacillota; Bacilli; Caryophanales; Bacillaceae.